RNAcentral lists this unclassified non-coding RNA (330 nucleotides) under soil metagenome. RNAcentral's name for it is "partial contains 5.8S ribosomal RNA, internal transcribed spacer 2, and large subunit ribosomal RNA". The stretch from base 1 to 120 matches the Rfam family "5.8S ribosomal RNA", at positions 35 to 154 of the family's 154-position model. The record is from RNAcentral.
GAUGAAGAACGCAGCGAAAUGCGAUAAGUAAUGUGAAUUGCAGAAUUCAGUGAAUCAUCGAAUCUUUGAACGCACAUUGCGCCCCCUGGUAUUCCGGGGGGCAUGCCUGUUCGAGCGUCAUUUCACCACUCAAGCCUCGCUUGGUAUUGGGCAACGCGGUCCGCCGCGUGCCUCAAAUCGACCGGCUGGGUCUUCUGUCCCCUAAGCGUUGUGGAAACUAUUCGCUAAAGGGUGUUCGGGAGGCUACGCCGUAAAACAACCCCAUUUCUAAGGUUUACCUCGGAUCAGGUAGGGAUACCCGCUGAACUUAAGCAUAUCAAAAGCGGAGGA